GAAAAAAAAGAUAAAUUAAAUUUUAAUUUAGAGACAAGUGGCUUAAUACUAGCCACUUAACUAAAUUAAUUUUAUAAAUAAAAAAAAGGAAAAAGGAAGAAAAGAAAAGAGUAGAAGAGGCCAUUUUCUUCCAAAAAAUAAAAAAUAAAAAAUAAAAAGAAAGAAUCCCGUUCAUCCAUCCCAUCUUUUCCCUAAAAUUCUUCUUUUCAAUUCUACUCUAUUUUCUUCCAAUUUUCCACCCAACUUGCUAGCCCAUCUCAUCCAAGUCCCUUGGUUAAAAAUUCAAGGUAUGAGGAAGAAUCAAAGGAGAAAAUUCAAGGUUGAGGGAGAGAGUGAAUAGUAACCAAGGGUUUGGAAAUUUAAAGAAGAAGUGGAAGGGAGGAGUGGAAAUUCCAAAGGGAAAGGAAAGGAAGAAUAGAAAUUUUAAGCUUGUGGAAGAUUUUGGAAGGUUUAAGUUGAGCACCACUAAGCAAUUUGCUUAGCGCAUCCAAAGCGCAGUAGAUCAUCAACCCAAUCAGAGUUAGAUCAUUAACUAUCUUGGGGUAUAUUUUGUAAAUUUUAUAUAAAGUUAAUUUUGAAAAUAUGACAUGUACAUAAAGUUUUAGAGAUAAAAUUGUAUAUGGUUUAAAUUAGAUAUGUUUGAAUAUUUUAAUUUUUGGUGUAAAUAUGGGUUACUCCUAUAAGUUUUUGGUGUUAGAGAUUAAUGAGAUGGUUAUGAAGUGUUGGAUCUGAGUUGAAACAACUGUGUUGAUGGUAAAAAAAGUUUGGGGGUUAAGAUUGAAGUUUAUAGAAGUGUAAUAUUGCUCUUCA
Long non-coding RNA from Manihot esculenta (cassava), 810 nucleotides. RefSeq lists it as uncharacterized. The transcript has 3 exons. NCBI's taxonomy places the organism in Eukaryota, Viridiplantae, Streptophyta, Magnoliopsida, Malpighiales, Euphorbiaceae. The record is from RefSeq and is a predicted model, not a curated record.